Molecule: long non-coding RNA, 1561 nt
Filed under: Equus asinus (donkey)
Lineage: Eukaryota; Metazoa; Chordata; Mammalia; Perissodactyla; Equidae
Description: lncRNA (ENSEASG00005034334.1)
Source: RNAcentral
CUUAGGGCCAUUAGAAAAACCCACACACCUAUUCUCAGCCAUUACUUGGAUUCAACUCACUGUCAAAUCUACCAUUCUUUUUGCUUUGCUCUCUACAUCCUUGUAAAAAGAAAAUCCCCCAAAAAGCCACCCUCCAAUCCCUUCCCUCCAUGAAAGAACUGAUUUAAAAAUAAAAAGGCUGGAAUCAAUAGACCAGAUACAUCAGACUCAAAUGCUUAAAGGAUUAAGAAUGUGGCGGUGUAGCACAAGUUUUGGAGUUCUCUUACCUGAGCUGCCUCUGGCUAUAUUUGAGAGCUGGCAUUUCCCGCCUCCACCGCCUCCAUCAGAGGUGUUGCCAGUGUUUUUGUUAUCUCUGCUUGUGCCUCCAGGGUUGCUGGUGCCUUUGCUGCUGGUUUUGCUGUGGUCACAUGCAUCACCACCAGGGUCACUGGGAUGGCAGGCACCUCUGCUGUGUCCAAGGUUGCCUGGGUCACUAACACUGCUGCUGUGGUUGAUGCAGGGGAGCCAAGGUCACUGGCACCUUCACUGCACCCAAGGUUGUCAGGUUCCCAGGUACAACCACCAAAAGCAGGAAGGGUGGAGUUGCAGGAGCUGCCACUGCUCUCUCAGGGGGCCAGGGUCACAUUCCCUGUGGAGCCUGGGUUCCUUGUGGCCAUAAGUGUCACCGGCUGGGGGACUGGAGUCACAUGUGCUCCUCCACUGAUGCUAUCAGGUUCUCUGGGGGUGAAGGCACCACUGCAGCUGGAGAGGGGGUGAGGGUCAUGGGCCCCACCUCCCCCACUGCUACUGGGAUUACUGGGGCUGUGGGCUCAGCUGCUGCAGCCAGGGAGGUGUGGUCUCAGGCCCCAUCUCUGCUGUUUCCCUGGUCUCACCACCUCUAUGCAUUCCAGUCUACCCGCCUUCAGAUGUACAGAUGUGUGGAUCCCUCCAGUGUCCUGGUGUGCUGAGCAGAGGAACCUUUGUUGAGUUAUGAAUAUCCUACCUAGUUGUAGAUUGAAGGAAAGAAACAAAAGGAGAAUCUCAUGCCACCAUGAUGCUGAUGUCACUCCUUGAUCUGUCUAUUCUUUUACCAAUAUUACUGCUUUCAUCAUUUUGGGUCUACAAUUAAUAAAUUAUUUCAUCCCAUAAUCAUUGAGUACCUGGUGUGUGUCUGAAACUGUGUUUGGCAUGAGGAUACAGCAGUUUAUCAGGUGGACAUAGUUCCUGCCCUCACAUUCAUUGUUUCUAGUGCAGGAAACAGGAAAUAAUCAAUGUGUACAGCCUAGUGAGCCAUGGGCACUGAGAAAAGAGGCACAAGGUGUUAGGGGAACAUAUGGUAAGGGUCUAUUCCACACUAGGAGUCAAUGAGGAUUCCUGAAUGAGUGAUAUCUAAGUUUAGUCCUGAGGUUCAUGGUAGGCAGGCAAACAGACGAGAGAGAAGUUGAAGAUGGAUGGAACAACAACCUGACAAUCUGAGAGUCAAUAGAGAGCCUGGUGCAUUUGAGAAGCUGAAAACAAUUCUGCAUGGCUGGAGCAGAGUACAGAGGGUUGGUUCCGGACAGGGGAGCCAAACUAUGUUAAG